RNAcentral lists this ribosomal RNA (601 nucleotides) under uncultured archaeon. Its description in RNAcentral is "bacterial SSU rRNA". It matches the Rfam family "Archaeal small subunit ribosomal RNA", at positions 319 to 923 of the family's 1478-position model. The record is from RNAcentral.
UCCCUAUGGGGUGCAGCAGGCGCGAAACCUCCACAAUGCGCGAAAGCGUGAUGGGGUUAGCCCGAGUGCUAUCCGAAAAGGAUGGCUUUUCCUUGGCGUAAAAACCCAUGGGAAUAAAGGGGGGGCAAGACUGGUGUCAGCCGCCGCGGUAAUACCAGCUCCCUGAGUGGUAAGGACGAUUAUUUGGCUUAAAGCGUCCGUGGCCGGCUUAGUGAGUCUUUUGUUAAAUCCAAUGAUUUAAUCAUUGAACUGCAAGAGAUACUGCUAUGCUAGAGGACGGGAGAGGUCGACGGUAGUCCAGGGGUAGGGGUGAAAUCCUAUAAUCCUUGGAGGACCACCAGUGGCGAAGGCGGUCGACUAGAACGUGCCUGACGGUGAGGGACGAAAGCUGGGGGAGCGAACCGGAUUAGAUACCCGGGUAGUCCCAGCUGUAAACGAUGCGGGCUAGGUGUAGGGGCAGCUACGAGCUGCUCCUGUGCCGCAGAGAAAUUGUUAAGCCCGCCGCCUGGGGAGUACGAUCGCAAGAUUGAAACUUAAAGGAAUUGGCGGGGGAGCACCACAAGGGGUGAAGGCUGCGGUUUAAUUGGAUUCAACGCCGGAA